AUGUUAACGUGAGAUAUGUUAACAUCAGUUUUCCAAAAAAUCGAUGUUAAUGCAUACACGUUAACAU
Molecule: microRNA precursor, 67 nt
Filed under: Glycine max (soybean)
Lineage: Eukaryota; Viridiplantae; Streptophyta; Magnoliopsida; Fabales; Fabaceae
Also listed under: 1 other name
Description: MIR4359 microRNA precursor family
Rfam family: MIR4359 microRNA precursor family
Source: Rfam by way of RNAcentral